This is a long non-coding RNA of Sapajus apella (tufted capuchin), 121 nucleotides long. RefSeq lists it as uncharacterized. NCBI's taxonomy places the organism in Eukaryota, Metazoa, Chordata, Mammalia, Primates, Cebidae. The record is from RefSeq and is a predicted model, not a curated record. The transcript has 3 exons.
UCUUAAGGUGGCUAGGUACAAAAUUAAUACUCAAAAUUUAAUAGCAUUCCCAUAUUCAAACAACCACAUAAAAGUUGUAAAAGAAACGCCGGGCGCGGUGGCUCAAGCCUGUAAUCCCAGC